UACGUAGGUGGCAAGCGUUGUCCGGAUUUACUGGGCGUAAAGAGCGCGCAGGCGGUCGGAUAAGUCGAAUGUGAAAGCCCCCGGCUCAACUGGGGAGGGUCACGCGAUACUGAUCGACUCGAAGGCAGGAGAGGGAAGUGGAAUUCCCGGUGUAGUGGUGAAAUGCGUAGAUAUCGUGGAGAACACCCGUGGCGAAGGCGGGCUUCUGGCUAAUGACUGACGCUGAGGUGCGAAAGCUAGGGGAGCGAACGGG
This 253-nucleotide ribosomal RNA is filed under the name uncultured bacterium. RNAcentral's name for it is "partial 16S ribosomal RNA". It matches the Rfam family "Bacterial small subunit ribosomal RNA", at positions 524 to 776 of the family's 1533-position model. The record is from RNAcentral.